This is a non-coding RNA of Pseudonaja textilis, 651 nucleotides long. NCBI's taxonomy places the organism in Eukaryota, Metazoa, Chordata, Lepidosauria, Squamata, Elapidae. The record is from the annotation of a RefSeq genome assembly.
AAUCACCAACACAAAGGUUGUGCAUUUUCUCAAAAUCUCUCAUUUCAAUUCCCCUCCAUUCGUUAGAGGGAGCCAAAAUGACCCUGUGGCUAAACUUGGUAUUCUUUCUUGCAUCCCUUGGAGGUGUCAAAUCUCAAGUCCAGUUGGUGGAGUCUGGAGGGGAUGUGAGAAGACCUGGGGAGUCCCUCCGUCUCUCCUGCCAAGCCUCUGGGUUCACCUUCAGUGGUUAUUGGAUGACCUGGGUUAGACAGGCUCCAGGGAAAGGACUGGAAUGGGUAGCCUACAUACGUGCAGGUUCAAAUCCUUCCACUUAUUACUCAGACAAAGUCAAGGGCUGCUUCACCAUCUCCAGGGAUGAUGCCAAAAGCCAACUGUUGUCAAUGCUUGUUCAUCAUUUGUUCCCUGGAAUCACCAUUGAGAAGUGGGGACUGGAAUGGGUGGCAAGGAUCGGAACAUCCUCAUCUCCAAUUAGCUAUUCAGACAAAGUUAAAGGACAUUUCGCCAUCUCCAGGGAUGAUUCCCACAGCCAGCUGCAUUUGCAAAUGAACAAUCUUAAAUUGGAGGAAACGACAGUUUAUUACUGUGCAAGAGACACAGUGAGAGGAAGUGAAUCUGAUGCCAAACAAGAGACUUCUCAUCAGAGAAGCUGUA